GGGGAAUAUUGCGCAAUGGGGGAAACCCUGACGCAGCAAUACCGCGUGAGUGAAGAAGGUUUUCGGAUCGUAAACUUCUUUUAAGGGGGAAGAGUAGAAGACGGUACCCCUUGAAUAAGCCACGGCUAACUACGUGCCAGCAGCCGCGGUAAUACGUAGGUGGCAAGCGUUGUCCGGAUUUACUGGGUGUAAAGGGCGUGUAGCCGGGAAGGCAAGUCAGAUGUGAAAUCUGGAGGCUCAACCUCCAAACUGCAUUUGAAACUGCUUUUCUUGAGUGUCGGAGAGGUAAUCGGAAUUCCUUGUGUAGCGGUGAAAUGCGUAGAUAUAAGGAAGAACACCAGUGGCGAAGGCGGAUUACUGGACGAUAACUGACGGUGAGGCGCGAAAGCGUGGGGAGCAAACA
RNAcentral lists this ribosomal RNA (403 nucleotides) under uncultured Oscillibacter sp. Its description in RNAcentral is "bacterial SSU rRNA". It matches the Rfam family "Bacterial small subunit ribosomal RNA", at positions 356 to 774 of the family's 1533-position model. Lineage: Bacteria; Bacillati; Bacillota; Clostridia; Eubacteriales; Oscillospiraceae. The record is from RNAcentral.